Molecule: ribosomal RNA, 525 nt
Filed under: Bacillus sp. (in: firmicutes)
Lineage: Bacteria; Bacillati; Bacillota; Bacilli; Caryophanales; Bacillaceae
Description: bacterial SSU rRNA
Rfam family: Bacterial small subunit ribosomal RNA
Source: RNAcentral
UUCAGAGCUUGCUCUCAAUGAAGUUAGCGGCGGACGGGUGAGUAACACGUGGGUAACCUGCCCAUAAGACUGGGAUAACUCCGGGAAACCGGGGCUAAUACCGGAUAACAUUUUGAACUGCAUGGUUCGAAAUUGAAAGGCGGCUUCGGCUGUCACUUAUGGAUGGACCCGCGUCGCAUUAGCUAGUUGGUGAGGUAACGGCUCACCAAGGCAACGAUGCGUAGCCGACCUGAGAGGGUGAUCGGCCACACUGGGACUGAGACACGGCCCAGACUCCUACGGGAGGCAGCAGUAGGGAAUCUUCCGCAAUGGACGAAAGUCUGACGGAGCAACGCCGCGUGAGUGAUGAAGGCUUUCGGGUCGUAAAACUCUGUUGUUAGGGAAGAACAAGUGCUAGUUGAAUAAGCUGGCACCUUGACGGUACCUAACCAGAAAGCCACGGCUAACUACGUGCCAGCGGCCGCGGUAAUACGUAGGUGGCACGCGUUAUCCGGAAUUAUUGGGCGUAAAGCGCGCGCAUGUGGU